CUAACUGGCCAUGCCGCCUUGAACAUUCCUGAUUUCACCUAAUCUUGGAUGCUGGUCAGGGUCGGGCCUGGUUAGUACUUUGAUGUAAGAAAUUGGAAAAUAGCUUAAA
Molecule: ribosomal RNA, 109 nt
Filed under: Jaculus jaculus (lesser Egyptian jerboa)
Lineage: Eukaryota; Metazoa; Chordata; Mammalia; Rodentia; Dipodidae
Source: RNAcentral